Molecule: long non-coding RNA, 255 nt
Organism: Neoarius graeffei (lesser salmon catfish)
Lineage: Eukaryota; Metazoa; Chordata; Actinopteri; Siluriformes; Ariidae
Exons: 3
Source: RefSeq, a predicted model, not a curated record
UCUGUGAUCUGGACACAGAUAAUGUGACCCCACCCUCAGAAAAGCGUAAACUCCAGAUGAAGAGAUCAAACUCACCAGAACCCAGCUGUGUCUCCAUGAAGAGUGAUCGGUCUAUGGAUCCUCCUUGGAGGUUUAACAGUGGAAACCCCUCAUCUGUCCACAGUAAACUCCAGAUGAAGAGAUCAGACUCACCAGAACCCAGCUGUGUCUCCAUGAAGAGUGAUGCAUCUAUGGAUCAUCCUUUGAAGUUUAACA